GAUGAACGCUGGCGGCGUGCCUAAUACAUGCAAGUCGAACGCUGGAAAUCUAGCUUGCUAGAUUGAAGGAGUGGCGAACGGGUGAGUAAUACAUAAGCAACCUACCCACGAAGACUGGGAUAAUCUCUGGAAACGGGGACUAAUACCGGAUAGGUAAUCGGAAGGCAUCUUCUGAUUAUUAAAGGUUAAAAACACUGGUGGAUGGGCUUAUGGCGCAUUAGUUAGUUGGUGAGGUAACGGCCCACCAAGACGAUGAUGCGUAGCCGGCCUGGGGGGGGGAACGGCGACAGUGGGACUGGGCAACGGCCCAGACUCCUACGGGAGGCAGCAGUAGGGGAUUUUCGGCAAUGGGGGAAACCCUGACCGGGCAACGCCGCGUGAGUGAUGACGGCCUUCGGGUUGUAAAGCUCUGUUGUAAGGGAAGAACGGUAGAUAGAGGAUGUCUAAAUGACGGUACCUGACCAGAAAGCCACGGCUAACUACGUG
RNAcentral lists this ribosomal RNA (486 nucleotides) under uncultured bacterium. RNAcentral's name for it is "partial 16S ribosomal RNA". It matches the Rfam family "Bacterial small subunit ribosomal RNA", at positions 28 to 507 of the family's 1533-position model. The record is from RNAcentral.